UACGAAGGGGGCUAGCGUUGUUCGGAAUCACUGGGCGUAAAGGGCGCGUAGGCGGCUUCGUAAGUCGGGGGUGAAAGCCUGUGGCUCAACCACAGAAUUGCCUUCGAUACUGCAUGGCUUGAGACCGGAAGAGGUAAGUGGAACUGCGAGUGUAGAGGUGAAAUUCGUAGAUAUUCGCAAGAACACCAGUGGCGAAGGCGGCUUACUGGUCCGGUACUGACGCUGAGGUGCGAAAGCGUGGGGAGCAAACAGG
RNAcentral lists this ribosomal RNA (253 nucleotides) under uncultured bacterium. RNAcentral describes it as "partial 16S ribosomal RNA". It matches the Rfam family "Bacterial small subunit ribosomal RNA", at positions 524 to 776 of the family's 1533-position model. The record is from RNAcentral.